GUGGGGAAUAUUGGACAAUGGGGGAAACCCUGAUCCAGCAAUGCCGCGUGAGUGAAGAAGGCCUUAGGGUUGUAAAGCUCUUUCGCCCGCGAAGAUAAUGACGGUAGCGGGAGAAGAAGCCCCGGCUAACUCCGUGCCAGCAGCCGCGGUAAUACGGAGGGGGCUAGCGUUGUUCGGAAUUACUGGGCGUAAAGCGUACGUAGGCGGAUGCGCAAGUUGGGGGUGAAAUCCCGGGGCUUAACCUCGGAAUUGCCCUCAAAACUGCACGGCUUGAGACCGAGAGAGGUAAGGGGAAUUCCUAGCGUAGAGGUGAAAUUCGUAGAUAUUAGGAAGAACACCAGUGGCGAAGGCGCCUUACUGGCUCGGUACUGACGCUGAGGUACGAAAGCGUGGGGAGCAAACA
This 403-nucleotide ribosomal RNA is filed under the name uncultured bacterium. RNAcentral's name for it is "bacterial SSU rRNA". It matches the Rfam family "Bacterial small subunit ribosomal RNA", at positions 354 to 774 of the family's 1533-position model. The record is from RNAcentral.